UGGCGGACGGGUGAGUAAUGUCUGGGAAACUGCCUGAUGGAGGGGGAUAACUACUGGAAACGGUAGCUAAUACCGCAUAACGUCGCAAGACCAAAGAGGGGGACCUUCGGGCCUCUUGCCAUCGGAUGUGCCCAGAUGGGAUUAGCUAGUAGGUGGGGUAACGGCUCACCUAGGCGACGAUCCCUAGCUGGUCUGAAAGGAUGACCAGCCACACUGGAACUGAGACACGGUCCAG
This 235-nucleotide ribosomal RNA is filed under the name uncultured bacterium. RNAcentral's name for it is "partial 16S ribosomal RNA". It matches the Rfam family "Bacterial small subunit ribosomal RNA", at positions 96 to 334 of the family's 1533-position model. The record is from RNAcentral.